Molecule: long non-coding RNA, 1212 nt
Organism: Mus musculus (house mouse)
Lineage: Eukaryota; Metazoa; Chordata; Mammalia; Rodentia; Muridae
Product: predicted gene, 40435
Exons: 2
Source: RefSeq, a predicted model, not a curated record
UUUCAUUGAUUUCUUAGUUUUAUUCAAUCCACUGACAUAAAAAAAAUCAUAUUGGUGUAAAUGAAAACAACACGAUUUAAAUUUUUGUGUGAUAUUUCUUAGUGUUGGCUCUGACUUCUAUUACAAAGCCUGGUCACGCAGUGUGUUCUCCAAACCAGACUGUCCCACCAUGCCGGAUCAGGAAGUAGUUCCACGCCGCGCAAGUCUUUGCUCCUCCCCUACACACACACACACACACACACACACACACACACACACACACACACACACGCUUGCUAAUGAUUAUUUGAUUGCUGGAAGAGGAGCAGGCGCCUGUGCCUCCAGCUGUACAUUGAACUGGAGCACCCCUAGCCCAGAGCCACUGAAUGGCACCCUUGCCUCACAGCCAGCGCUUGCUUCUCGCUGUCUCACUGGAGACAGCAACCUCCUCAUGAGUCUCAGAAAGGAAUAGUGUCUCUCUUACACUGCCCUUCAAUCUGUUCGCUGGGUCCUCCCAGAGGACCUAGCAGCAGUCACAGCUCAGUGGCCAAGGGCUGGAGGAAGGGCCCAGGCAGAACCCAGAGCUCUAGCGGUUGCCAUGGCAGCAGCAGGACUAUGUAAAGCUUCCCGAAGCAGAUCUGCUGUCUCAAGAGCUUAUACCACAGCCAUAGGCUGUCUGUGUUUAGCCUGUGCUGGGGGGAGACAGUUCAGCGUUUUCCCACUCCCUCUGUCAGCUUGCCUUGAGAUUAUUUGCUGACACCCUGGAGACACAGGUCAGAUGAGGCCGCUGACCCAGGUCUUCAGGGGUUUGUACAAGAGCUUGCUUGGCCCUUGUUUGUUUGGAAGGAGCGUGGCAAAGCAGACACUGCUGUAUUUAGCCAUUGGAUUCCAGGAUUACAGUCCUGUGCUGCCCCAUCCUCUGCUCUCUGCAGCCCUGGAAUGGAACUCAGGGCCUUGUGCGCACUGUACAAGACAAGCACUCUGCCAACCAACAGAGCUGCAUCUGCAACUCUGGGAGUGCCCAUCCCAAGCUCACCAUGGACUUCCCACAUGAAACAUCAUUUUUGCCUGUGCUCCCCAUGUGUUUCUGGCUGAAGACAGCUUUUGAGUCUGUGGACUCACCAAAGGAGAUCACCCUAGUCAGUGUAACGUACUUUCCUGUCCUCCAAGCCUUGAGAAUCUAAAUAAAACAAGGGGCCGGGAAAGAAAGAGCCUUUCCCCUUUCAUUGCUGA